Molecule: long non-coding RNA, 806 nt
Filed under: Prunus persica (peach)
Lineage: Eukaryota; Viridiplantae; Streptophyta; Magnoliopsida; Rosales; Rosaceae
Description: long non-coding RNA (PPER_LNC002552)
Source: RNAcentral
AGAAGGUUUACAGUUGGUGAGUGGGUCCUCAGGAGAGUAAUGGAAAACACUAAAAAUCUAAACACAGACAAGUUUGGUCACUCAUGGGAAGGACCGUUCGAGGUCAUAGAAGCAUACAGAAAGGGCGCUUACAAGUUAAGACUAGUCAGUAUAUGUCACGCCCUUGGAAUACACCUCACCUAAAGAAAUAUUGUGUUUAGAUUAAUCUACUUGUCCAUGAUUCCACUUAUAUUUAUUAAAUAAAAUCCGCACUUCCCAUUUAAAUGUCGAUUCAUGCACUUGGCUUAAAUUUGUUAUAAACUGAGCUGUGUUUAAACUUAUCAUCGAUGUCCAUGCCGAUCGCAACACUACCCCGAGGUUACCAAUCCUGUUGGGGCAGUCAAUUGGAUCCAUGCUGAUCUCAACAUCACCCGUAGAUUACCAAUCCUCUGGGGGCAAUCAACAAGUUCCAUGCCGAUGUCAAUAUCACCCAGAGGUUAUCAAUCCUCUGGGAGCAAUCAAUAAGAUACAUGCCGAUCGCAACACUAUCCCGUGCUGAUCUCAACAUCACCCAGAGAAUACCAAUCCUCUGGGGGCAAUCAACAUGAUCCAUGCCGAUCUCAACAUCACCCAGAGGUUAUCAAUCCUCUGAGAGCAAUCAAUAGGAUACAUGUCGAUCACAAAACUAUCUUGAGGUUACCAAUCCUCUAGGGGUAGUCAAUUGGAUCCAUGCUGAUCUCAACAUCACUCAGAGGUUACCAAUAGGAUCCAUGCUGAUCUUAACACUACCCUGAGGUUAUAAAUUCUCUAGGGAUAGUCAGUUGGAC